This 200-nucleotide long non-coding RNA is filed under the name Carica papaya (papaya). Its description in RNAcentral is "long non-coding RNA (CPAP_LNC014789)". Lineage: Eukaryota; Viridiplantae; Streptophyta; Magnoliopsida; Brassicales; Caricaceae. The record is from RNAcentral.
GGGGAGGGAAUGAUGUGAGCAUGGACAUAGACCAGAAAGAGAAGGCCCAAUCUAAAGAAAGAUGAGGAAAUAGGCCAAAAAAGAGAUCUUAUGGCCAGCCCUAAAUUUCCAUAUGUUUCCCCAUUAAUUUGACCACAAUCUCUUUUAAUUAAAGAGAAAGACUAAAUUUAUCUUAGUUAGAAAAUUAACUUUUAAUUUUU